Molecule: ribosomal RNA, 187 nt
Filed under: uncultured bacterium
Lineage: Bacteria
Description: partial 16S ribosomal RNA
Rfam family: Bacterial small subunit ribosomal RNA
Source: RNAcentral
GCCUACAUGAAGCUGGAAUUGCUAGUAAUGGCAGGUCAGCAUACUGCCGUGAAUACGUUCCCGGGCCUUGUACACACCGCCCGUCACACCAUGAGAGUUGGGGAUACCCGAAGCCUGUGAGCCAACUGUAAAGAGGCAGCAGUCGAAGGUAGAAUCAAUGAUUGGGGUGAAGUCGUAACAAGGUAUC